GNUUCGUAGGUGACCUGCGGAGGAUCAUUACCGAGUGCAGGUCUGCCCCCGGGCAGGCCUAACCUCCCACCCGUGAAUACCUGACCAACGUUGCUUCGGCGGUGCGCCCCCCCGGGGGUAGCCGCCGGAGACCACACCGAACCUCCUGUCUUUAGUGUUGUCUGAGCUUGAUAGCAAACCUAUUAAAACUUUCAACAAUGGAUCUCUUGGUUCCGGCAUCGAUGAANAACGCAGCGAACUGCGAUAAGUAAUGUGAAUUGCANAAUUCAGUGAAUCAUCGAGUCUUUGAACGCACAUUGCGCCCCCUGGCAUUCCGGGGGGCAUGCCUGUCCGAGCGUCAUUGCUGCCCUUCAAGCCCGGCUUGUGUGUUGGGUCGUCGUCCCCCCCGGGGGACGGGCCCNAAAGGCAGCGGCGGCACCGCGUCCGGUCCUCGAGCGUAUGGGGCUUUGUCACCCGCUCGAUUAGGGCCGGCCGGGCGCCAGCCGGCGUCUCCAACCUUCUAUUUUACCAGGUUGACCUCGGAUCAGGUAGGGAUACCCGCUGAACUUAAGCAUAUCAAUAAGNCGGAGNAA
Molecule: ribosomal RNA, 572 nt
Filed under: Eurotiales sp. K4Ri74H
Lineage: Eukaryota; Fungi; Ascomycota; Eurotiomycetes; Eurotiales
Description: eukaryotic LSU rRNA
Rfam family: 5.8S ribosomal RNA (bases 187-340)
Source: RNAcentral